RNAcentral lists this long non-coding RNA (5570 nucleotides) under Marmota monax (woodchuck). Lineage: Eukaryota; Metazoa; Chordata; Mammalia; Rodentia; Sciuridae. The record is from RNAcentral.
CAAACCCUCACCCAGGGGAAGACAGCGGGUUGGGAAGAGGAGACCGCCUGGGUGACCUAGACGUGUAACUGUCUUUUCAUGCUCACCCACUGCGCUGUUUCAAAUACAGUGAGCCUGGGGGUGUAGCCCUGCAGCGGAGCCUGUGCUUAGCAUGCGGGAGGCACUGGGUUCGUCCCCACACUGAAAAAAUAAAAUGCAACCAACGUUGUUUCCUUGUGGGAGACAGGUAAGCACAAUUUCCCUGACUCUAAAGCUUGAAUUUGACAGGUGUGGGGCCCGAAUUCAAUACCCAAUACCCGGGGAGGGGGGUGGCUGAAUUUGAAAGUCAGAAUUGUGCAAACCUGGUCAUUGCUUGUCUAGGCUGUGUGACUUUGGACCAGUGAUUUCACCUCUUAACUUCUUCAUCUGCCAAAUAAGAAAGAUCAGGGAGUCAACUCAGUAGGGUGGUUUUAAAGUAUUAAGUUUUCAAAGUUCUUAGCACAGUACUCUGCACAUAGUAAAUGCUCAAUAAAUAUCAGUUCACUUUUUUGGGGGGGCAGUACAGGGGAUUGAACGGAAGGAUGGUCUAACUGAGCUACAUUCCAAGCCAUUUUUUAAAUUUUGAUACAGGGUCUCUCUAAGUUGUUGAGGCUGACUUGUAAUUCUCCUGCCUCAGCCUCUUUAAUCGCUGAGAUUACAGGUAUGUACCAUCCUGUCUGACUUAGUUCACAUCACAAAUGCCCAUUGUUAAUAUUUCCUGUCCAGAGGUCCACUUGUCUUCUCUCAGUUACUCUAAUAUGCCAACUGCAUUCCCCUCAGGGACUUUCCAUGGCCUUACUAGUCCCUUGAAGACCUUCCCCACCUCCAUUCCAUGUUUGGCCUCUUCUUCUUUUAGCUUAAACACCACCUGUGCAGAUCUACAGAGACAUCCUAGAUACAAAAUCCCCAUAAUUCCCUAGAAGUUAAUUAGGGCAUUUUUAUAGCCUUUAUUCCAACUUUUAAUGGUUUCCUGGGGGGGGUUGUGGAGAUCCUCCAUUAGGUGGUGUGUCUUUGGGGGCAGGCACUUUAUCUGUAAACUGUGCUUCAUCAUCUAGAAGAGGGGCACAUAGUAAGCACUCAGUAAAGGCAUGCCUAUGGGUACUGACGGGAGAUUUGCCCUGACAACAACAGAGCAUAUUACAGAACCUGUCAAUUAGACAUGUGCUCCCGACAGAAGAACCAGUACAAAACUACUGAAUGUUGGCCCGGCAUGGUGGUGGGUGGGUGGCAGGAGGAUCGUGAGUUCAAAGCCAGCCUCAGCAAAGGUGAGGCACUAAGCAACUCAGAGAGACCCUGUCUCUAAAUAAAAUAUAAAAUAGGGCUGGGGUGUGGCUCAGUGGUCAAGUGUCCUUGAGUUCAAUCCUCAGUACAUUCCCCCCCACACAAAAAAUCCCUAUUGAAUAUUGCAAGGGUAAAUAGAGGCCAGAGAUGGAUUACUCUCCUGUACACAUCUCCUUCUCCAACAAGGUUGGAGUAGGAUGAGCAAGAUGCCCAAGGAGCAAAGCUGAAAAAGACACUUAUUCAGAUGCCAACCCAGCCCUGGCAUGAGCCUGAGCCUGAGUGCCUCCUUUCAUUUUAUGCUCUGGGGACCUUGUUUGUGUCACCUUAGUCCUGACUCUGAUCUCCAGUGCUCAGCACAGCACUUGGCACAAGUGUUCAAUCUACAUGUUAGAUGAUAAAUGAACCAGCAGCAAGAAAAUGGGCCCUGUCCCUGUCCUGGAAACAUUCGCCACCCACCAGGGAAAAUGGACAUAAAUGACAUUACACAAAAAAGUUAAAGAUUAUUUUAAUGAAGCCAGGUGCAGUGGCAUAGGCCUGUAAUCCCAACAGCUUGGGAGGCUGGAGCAGGAGGAUCUUGAGUUCAAAGCCAGCCUCAGCAAUUUAGUGAGGCGCUAAGCAACUCAGUGAGGUCCUGUCUUUAAAUAAAAUACAAAAUAGGGCUGGGAAUGGGGCUCAGUGGUCGAGUGUCCCGAGGUUCAAUCCCCAGUACAAAAAAAAAAUCAUUUUAACAAGUCCUAUGAUUUAAAAGUUGUAGGAUACUUUAAUGCUGAAUUAGUGAUUUUUAAAAAAUAUUUUUUAGUUGUCAAUGGACCUUUAUUUUUAUUUAUUUAUAUGCGGUGCUGAGGAUUGAACCCAGUGCCUCACAAUACUAGGCAAGCGCUCUACCACUGAGCCACCACCCCAGCCCCUGAAUUAGUGAUCUUCUACUGUCUAAUGAACCAUCCCCAAACUUAGCAGCUUAAAAUAAUAAUCAUAAAUCUCAUAGUUUCUGUGGGUCAGUAAUGGGGAACAGCAUCGCAGGGCGGUUCCGGCUUGAAGUCUCUGGCAGGAUUGCAGUUAGUAGAAGGCUUGAAGGGGCUGUCAGAGCAGUGUCCCCGCUGCUCCUGUGGGGCCACAUUGAUGCUGACUGUUGGAGGACGUCUCAGUUCCUUACUCUCAGGAAACCCAGGUUUGGAGGCUCAUCCCAUGGAAAAACCCACACCCUAGAGAGGAGCAUUGGGGAGAAGGAGAGGCUAUUUGGUGGCCAAAGAAUGGAGCUGUGCUCCCACAUCAGCUCAACUCACAGAUGCAGACAGGAAUAAUGAGGGAGAGAGAGUCUAUAAAGGGGAGGAAUAUUCGCGUCUUGUCUUGGAUCUCCUGGGAACUCAGGUGCCACCACUCCUCACUCCUUCCAUGGUUUGGUGUUUCCGGUCAUGGCGGCUGGUAGGUGUCUUCAGCCUGUUUGGGGGGGGGGAUGAGGCGAGUCUCCAAGGUUAUUAUAGUUUCGGACAAAACAUUUCUCAAAUGUUCAACAGGUCUCUCUGCAGAGCUGAGUAGACUCUGGCCCAAACGUCAAGGCGACAAAGGAGAUCAACACAAAAUGAAGACAGAGAUGUCAAGCCUUCAUCUUGACCUCAACAGACAUCAGCAGGCCCCAGCGAGGAGUUAGUGUUUUCAGAAAAAGUGACCUCCAGGUCCCUGAAGAGUAACCUAGACAACCGUUAGCAUCAUGACCCCCAAGUCAGAGGUGUGAUCUCGGGCCAAGCCAGUGGCAGACUGAUGGUGGAUUGCCCACGUGACCUCCAAAAGUAGUGAUUUUUAAAGUAAAUUAAUGCAGGUGAAAUGAGACAGUUUAUUUAGGCUUUUCCUCAGUAACAGGACCUCGGUUGGCCUCCCCACAGGACACAGGAGUGUCCUCAUGUAGCGCUGCUUUCCGGGCGGGGGGGGGGAGUGAUCAAGAGAGGGCAAGGGGGAAACUGCAGUGUCCUCUAUGACCUUGCCUCAGAUGUCAUGCCCUAUCCUUUCUGAAGUACAGAUCAGCCCUGUCGGAUGCCAGAGGAAACAGGAGUACCCGUGAGAAUCACUGGGGUCCAUCUUAGAAACUGGCUUUCAUCAUUAUCUAGAGCAGGGCUGCCUGUUUUAAUGAAGAGUUAGGGACAGCUAGCAAUGAAUUCUGUCCUUCCUCUCUUCCUCUGUCUUUCCCAAGGCUGGGGAUUGACUGAGGGCCUUGUGCUCCAUAGGCAAGUCAUCUAUCACUGAGCCACACCCCAGCUCCUAACUUUUCUUCUCUCCAACUUUUGGGGGGGCAGGGGUGGGAUGAGGACUAGGGAUUAAACCUACGGGUACUUUACUACUGAGCUAAGGGCUCAGACUUUCUAAAUUUUUUAUUUUGAGACAGGGUCUCACUAAGUUGCUGAGGGUUGAGUUAAAUUGAACUUGCAGUCCUCCUGUGUAGCUGGGAUUACAGAUGUGUGCCACGGUACCCGGUUUGCUUUCUCAAACUUUCUAAUUAGAAAAUGAUCAUAUCUACUUGAAAAUGUAAUAGUAGUACAGAGAACUCCAAUAUAUCAUUCACCUCGAUGCACCAAUUGUCGACAUUUGAUACAUUUACUCUCUACAUGUAUUUACUUGAAUUUUUUUUUCUUUGGUUCCUUGCAGACAGCAUGCUAACACUUCCUCCCAAAAUCUAAAUAUUUAUCACUCCUAAGAAAGGACUUUCUCCUCCAUAACCACAAUGCAAUUAUCACACUUAGAAAACUUAAUAUUAAUACUAUACUAUUGUUUAAUAUACAGUUCAUAUAAAAAUAUCUUUGAUAUGGAGAAUGAGAUUGAUCAGAUUAUAUUAUGUACAUGUACGAAUAUGACAUAAUGAAUCAUACUAUUAUGUAUGAUUAUAAUCCACCAAUUAAAAAAUAUAUUUCUGGGUGUAGUGGCAACACACCUGUAAUCCCAGCAGCUCAGGAGGCUGAGGCAGGAGGAUCACAACUUCAAAGCCAGUCUGGGCAAUAUAGUGAGAUCUUGUCUCAAGAUAAAAAAUAAAAGGGUUGGGGAUGUAAUUCAGUGUCAAAGUACCUCUGGGUUCAUUUCCCAGUACUGGGGGGGAAAGUAUCUCAGUAAUAUUCCAUAUAUAUAUAUAUAUAUAUAUAUAUAUAUAUAUAUAUAUAUAUAUAUAUAUUCUUCACCAGAAACCCAUCCAGGAUCACAGAUUGCAUUUAGAUGUAGUGUUCCACCAGGUGGAAUCCCAGGGACUCUCCUGGCUGAGGCAGGAGGAUCACAAUUUCAAGGACAGCCUCUGCAAUUUAGGGAGACCAUGUCUCAAAAUAAAAAGUAAGCCGGGCGUGGUGAUGCAUGCCUGUAAUCCCAGUAGCUCUGAAGGCUAAGGCAGGAGGAUCGCCAGUUCAAACCAGUCUCGGCAAUUUAUCAAGGCGCUAAGCAGCUCAGUGAGACCUUGUGUCUAAAUAAAAUAUCAAAAAGGGCUGUGGAUGUGGCUCAGUAGUUAAGCAUCUCUGGGUUUAAUCCUGGUACCAAAACACAUAAACAAACAAACAAAUAAAAUAAAAAGGGCUGAGGGUGUAUCUCAGUGGUUGCACACCCCUGGGUUCAAUCCCCAGUAGCAAAGGAGGGGGGAAGUCAAGUCCCUUACCUCCUUUUAUCUGGAACAAUCUCUUCUCAUUCUUUUCUGUAUUUCAACACACUGGCCAUUUUUGAUGAUUCCCAAUCAGUUAUUUUGCAGAAUGUCCCUUAAUUUGGAUUUGUCUGAUGUUUCAUCAUAGACAUAUAGAUAGAUAGAUAGACAGAUAGAUAGAUAGAUAGAUCGAUAGAUCGAUCUGUAUAUCUAGGUUUAACCUUUUUUGUCAAGAAUAUCACCAAGUGACACUCUUUUCCUCCCAGAGCAUCCCCUCAGGGGCAUGUGAUGUCGAUGGAUCUCAUCCUUGGUGACAUUAAACUCAAUCACUUGGCUAAGGUAAUAUCUGUGACACUUUUCUUUUCAAAAUUAUACAAUUUAUAUGAUAUCCAAAGCAUAAACAACAGGAGAAGAAGCUAUGGAUUAAACUUUAUUAAAAUUAAAAACUUUUGGGGCUGGGGUGUACCUCAGCCAUGGCAGAGAGCCUCCCCAGUAUGAGGCCCUGGACUUGAUUGAGGCACCACACCACAGACACACAGUAAAAACCUUUUGUGUAUUAAAGGACAGCUGCCAAGGAGGCUGGGGUUGUGGCUCAGCGGUAGAGCGCUGGUCUAGUGUAAACAAGGCCCUGGGUUCGAUCCUCAGCACCACAUAAAAGUAAAUAAAU